RNAcentral lists this ribosomal RNA (529 nucleotides) under uncultured fungus. Its description in RNAcentral is "eukaryotic LSU rRNA". The stretch from base 185 to 338 matches the Rfam family "5.8S ribosomal RNA". The record is from RNAcentral. Lineage: Eukaryota; Fungi.
CCGUAGGUGAACCUGCGGAGGGAUCAUUACAAGAACGCCCGGGCUUCGGCCUGGUUAUUCAUAACCCUUUGUUGUCCGACUCUGUUGCCUCCGGGGCGACCCUGCCUUCGGGCGGGGGCUCCGGGUGGACACUUCAAACUCUUGCGUAACUUUGCAGUCUGAGUAAACUUAAUUAAUAAAUUAAAACUUUUAACAACGGAUCUCUUGGUUCUGGCAUCGAUGAAGAACGCAGCGAAAUGCGAUAAGUAAUGUGAAUUGCAGAAUUCAGUGAAUCAUCGAAUCUUUGAACGCACAUUGCGCCCCCUGGUAUUCCGGGGGGCAUGCCUGUUCGAGCGUCAUUUCACCACUCAAGCCUCGCUUGGUAUUGGGCAACGCGGUCCGCCGCGUGCCUCAAAUCGUCCGGCUGGGUCUUCUGUCCCCUAAGCGUUGUGGAAACUAUUCGCUAAAGGGUGUUCGGGAGGCUACGCCGUAAAACAACCCCAUUUCUAAGGUUGACCUCGGAUCAGGUAGGGAUACCCGCUGAACUUAA